GAUGAACGCUGGCGGCGUGCCUAAUACAUGCAAGUCGAGCGAACAGAUGAGGAGCUUGCUCCUCUGACGUUAGCGGCGGACGGGUGAGUAACACGUGGAUAACCUACCUAUAAGACUGGGAUAACUUCGGGAAACCGGAGCUAAUACCGGAUAAUAUAUUGAACCGCAUGGUUCAAUAGUGAAAGACGGUUUUGCUGUCACUUAUAGAUGGAUCCGCGCCGCAUUAGCUAGUUGGUAAGGUAACGGCUUACCAAGGCAACGAUGCGUAGCCGACCUGAGAGGGUGAUCGGCCACACUGGAACUGAGCCACGGUCCAGACUCCUACGGGAGGCAGCAGUAGGGAAUCUUCCGCAAUGGGCGAAAGCCUGCCGGAGCAACGCCGCGUGAGUGAUGAAGGUCUUCGGAUCGUAAAACUCUGUUAUUAGGGAAGAACAAAUGUGUAAGUAACUAUGCACGUCUUGACGGUACCUAAUCAGAAAGCCACGGCUAACUACGUG
Molecule: ribosomal RNA, 497 nt
Filed under: uncultured bacterium
Lineage: Bacteria
Description: partial 16S ribosomal RNA
Rfam family: Bacterial small subunit ribosomal RNA
Source: RNAcentral